AUUUUAUGUAUCUCUUAACAAAUGAAACUAAUACAAUUUUAGGUUGUAUUAUAAAAAUGUGAUGUCCAGAAGACAUUAUGCGAUUAGCUAUACAGCCGCACCUGAGAUGUCCUGUUCAGCUUAGCUGCCCACUUUCUAAGAGAGGCAUAAGUAAGCGUGGAGUUCUCCUGAGGCAAAUAGAGUGAGAACGCAGGAUACUUGAAAUUGUUAUGGGAACAUUGAAUAUUUGUUGUAUCUUAGGAUGUGGGAGAGCAUUUUCUUUGAUGAUAUGAAGGGAUUUAUCAGGUAAAGGCCAAGACUGGCAUUGGUAAUUCAGAACAGAGACCUGAUCCAUAACCAACCGUGGAACUUGGAAAUAGGAAGAUUUUGACUCCAUGUAAGAAUGAAGUUUCUAGCAAAAUAAUCAAAGUAUUAGAAUGGGAUGCUUUUUAACAAAAUGAGCCUCAUGAAUCCUGAGAUGGUCAAAAACAGGACAGAAGCAAGACAAGAAGUUUAUUUAAUUACUGAGGAAAUCCUUUCAACUAUAACAUUCCAGAAUUUAAUAAGUAGCUAACAUAAUGAAUCCUUUAAGCUAUAAGUGGUUGCUAUUAAAAUUUUGGGCUUUCUUCCAUAACUCCUUCUCAUAUCAUCUUACUGCUUUAGUAAUUUGCUCCCACCCACUAGAGCAUGUGAAUUUGUCAUUCCUUUUCCUGGGUUUGUUGAAAUCAUGAACAAUAAUAUCAAUGACCUGAAAGAAAAGAAUAAGUACUUUUAAGGCAAAGGCUAACAUAUUGACUCAAGGAAUGCUCUCAACACCCUCAAUUGCAUAUUGGGACUUUCCAAUUUCUGACUUUCUGCCUUACUUUAUAGAAAUCACUGAAGUUGCAAUGCAAUCAACUGAAUGCAGUCAGUAGAAUGAAUACCUGGCGAUCAAGCAGCUGGUUGGUUAAUAUUUCAUUGAAUGUAAAUGGGUGCUUGAAACCUUUGUGGAAAAUGGAAUUAAAGGAUAAGUUCAGGGUAAGUGUUUCACACAGCAGUUGUGAUGCCUUUGGGAUGCCUGCAUGCCACACGGGAAUGCUUGGGUUUCAGUCUCUGCUUUGUUUCAGACUCGGCUUCCUGCAAAUGUGUACUCUGUGAGGUAGACAGUUGUGGCUGAAGGAGUUGGAUUCUUGCCGCUCAUGUGCAGAUCCAGAUUAAGUUCCUGCGUUCUGGCUUCAGCCUGGUCUAGCACUGACUGCUGCAGGUAUUUGGGAAGUGCAUCAGUAAUUAGGAGACCUCUCUGUCUCUCUGUCUCUCUGUGUAUGUCUGCCUUUCGAAUUAACUGAAAAACACAGAAAAGCACUUUUAAGGCCAGCGUCGGGCUCACUAGGCUAAUCCUCUGCCUUGCGGCGCCGGCACACCGGGUUCUAGUCCCGGUAGGGGCGCCGGAUUCUGUCCCGGUUGCCCCUCUUCCAGGCCAGCUCUCUGCUGUGGCCAGGGAGUGCAGUGGAGGAUGGCCCAAGUCCUUGGGCCCUGCACUCCAUGGGAGACCAGGAGAAGUACCUGGCUCCUGCCAUCGGAUCAGCGCGGUGCUUGGGUCGCAGCGCGCAGGCCGCGGCGUCCAUUGGAGGGUGAACCAACGGCAAAAAGGAAGACCUUUCUCUCUGUCUCUCUCUCUCACUGUCCACUCUGCCUGUUAAAAAAAAAAAAAAAGCAUUUUUAAAUAUAUGUCAUGGUGCAAAACAUUUUGAAAUUCAUGAGAAUUUUUUUCAUAAUACAUAUUUUCAUGACCUUUUUUUUGGAGAUACCUUAACAUUUAUAUGUUUCAUAAUUUUAGGUAUUCUUGCAAACACUGGAAAUCCUUUCUAUAAUAAAGCAGGGUGGAGGUAACCA
Oryctolagus cuniculus (rabbit) is the source of this 1851-nucleotide long non-coding RNA. The record is from Ensembl. NCBI's taxonomy places the organism in Eukaryota, Metazoa, Chordata, Mammalia, Lagomorpha, Leporidae.